AUUGAACGCUGGCGGCAGGCCUAACACAUGCAAGUCGAACGAGUGGCGGACGGGUGAGUAAUGUCUGGGAAACUGCCUGAUGGAGGGGGAUAACUACUGGAAACGGUAGCUAAUACCGCAUACCAUCGGAUGUGCCCAGAUGGGAUUAGCUAGUAGGUGGGGUAAAGGCUCACCUAGGCGACGAUCCCUAGCUUGUCUGAGAGGAUGACCGGGCACACUGUAAAUGAGACACGGUCCAGACUCCUUCGGGAGGCAUGAGGGGGGAAUAUUGCACAAUGGGCGCAAGCUGGAUGCAGCCAUGCCGCGUGUAGGAAGAAGGCAUUCGGGUUGUAAAGUACGUUAAGCGGGGAGGCGUGACCCGCAGAAGAAGCACCGGGUAACCCCGUGCCAGCAGCCGCGGUAAUUC
Molecule: ribosomal RNA, 406 nt
Filed under: uncultured bacterium
Lineage: Bacteria
Description: partial 16S ribosomal RNA
Rfam family: Bacterial small subunit ribosomal RNA
Source: RNAcentral